RNAcentral lists this long non-coding RNA (3250 nucleotides) under Homo sapiens (human). Its description in RNAcentral is "HSALNT0393636". The record is from RNAcentral. Lineage: Eukaryota; Metazoa; Chordata; Mammalia; Primates; Hominidae.
AAGGCCCCACCCCCACAGACUUAAGUGAAGACCCGCAUUCCUACUUUCUAUCCCAAAUGUUGCGUUUUCUAAGACCACUCUGGCCCGCCAUACCUCCAUCCUGGGCCUAUAAAAAUCCGAGACCCUAGCAAGACAGAAACGGAAGCUGCUGGACGACGAGAUGAAAAUAUCGGCCAAAGAAGACAAGCCACCGGACAUUGAGAGGACAUCGAGGGGAGCCCCCGCUUGUCGCACGCCCUGCCACAGGGAUGAGGGAACCUCUCCAGUUUCAAUAUAUAAGCAUGAUUAUUUAGACGGGUCAGGACCUACCUCUGGACAGAAGGAUAAAGUUAGCUUCCUGUGAUUUACAAAGUCUAUGUACGACACAAAGAGCCAGAUUAACAAAAUUGGGAUUAUUUUACAGAGAAUAAGAAGUAACUAAAUAUCAGGUAAACAACCAAUUAUAUCUACCACAGAAGGAAUUUUAUUUCUUCACUUUAAAACAAAUACUUAAAAAUGGUCAGUUGGAAACAAAUUUCAUAAGUUUCUGAUAUUUGCAAAUAAUUAUAUGUUCUCAGAAAUAUUUGUUUUUAUUACUUAAUAAAUACAUUUUUACUACUUAAUAUGUGUUGGGCACUUAUAGAUAUUGAUAAUGUAACAGUAAAUAACGUAACACAUGUAGUCUAGCAGCGGCGUAGAAAAUGUUUACGAUAAAGUAAUAGAGUGGGGACCACAUCAGUCCAUGACCUAAACCUUCUUUGCUGAACUCACUGCAGGGGGUGUACACAUAUUACUUAUGACCCUCUUUCACAUAGCCAUCAUGGGUGGAACCUUGGGCGAAUAUUCAACCUGAAUAUAACCACCAACUUACUCUCUUUUCAGACAGCAUGGUCUUCUCCUAGAGAAGAUCUAAUUUAGAACAUUGUCCCCCAACACUGAAUUUGAAAUUGAUUCCUCAUGUUCAGGAUAUUCAAAAAAGUUUUCUAAACUUUCUUUUUAAAAGUAUCCAACCACGUUGAUCACUUAAGAAAAAGAAGCCUUGUGCUAUUAAAGAAGAAUAAGGAGGAGGAAGAGGAGGAGACGGAAGAGAGGAGAAGAGAGGAGCAGGGGAAAAGCAUACGGACAGAAGAACACACAAAAGACUGAGAGUUGAUUCUGAUGGCAUUUUCUUUCUUAGGUAGUUUUUUCUAAGCUCCAGACUCAUUAUCAUCCUUGUUUUCUACAAGCCACACUAAUAUCAUCUUAAUAAAUUAUUUUAUUUUUUGCUGAAAAACAUCUUGAGUCCUUUUCUGUAACUUGUGAUGAAUUAAUUCCUAAAUAACGUAGGUCACAUGUGCUAAUAACUAUUGUUGUAUUUGUUGUGCACUUCAGGCAGUUUACAUAAAUGAUGGAAUAUUAGGUCUGAACAUUUAUUCAAGCCAACCAUCUGGGACAAUCAGUACCCUAGUCAGACAUACCCACUUCAGGAGUGUUCAUCUAUUAAUGAAUCACAAAGGCCACUCUUGGGGAGAUAACUGCAAGUCUUUCAGCUCUUGCUAAAAUCCAAAGGAAAAUAAAAGAGAAUUUCAAUACGUGUGGCUCUAAUGUUCGGGAUGAAAAUGUGAACCUAUCUUUCACUAUAUAAUGUAUUUUCCCAAGUACUUAUUACCCCUUGAGGUAGUUAUUAACACUGCUAAGAAAUAUUUACGACUUCUUGCCUCUAUCUACAUGGUGAGAUUUUGUGUCCUGCUCCCUGUAAUACAGGUGGAUAUAGCAGCAAGUUCCAGCUAAAGAAUUAUGAGUAAAAGUGACAUGCUUCACGGCCUAUCAUCUCCCCCAACUUUGCCAUGGACACCAACAAUGCUUGGGAUGAUUGCUGACCUAUCAACAUAAAUCCUUAGGAGAAGAUGAUGGGCUGAGUUGACAGCUAAACUCAGUAUUAGGUAAUUGAAUGUUUCAUUUGAUUGUAAAAAUUUAGGGUGUAUUUUUAAUGACGAAUAAGUCACUAAAUUCUACCAUAUUUUUCCAUAGUUUGAUAAGACUAUCAGAGUUUUUAUCUUAAGAUGACUAUUCACAGCACAGAUGUACAUAUCAGUUUAUCCCUGUAUGAUGCUUUACAAUCAUUUCACUGCCAACAUUCAGCCAAUGUCUCUAUUUGUGUUUUGAAAAAACUUCACCUGUGAUUAAUGUGUACAACUGAUUUUUGUUUAUGUGUUGUUAACAUUUGAGAAGUUAUCCAUCUAUGAAAGUAAUAGCACAUUGAAAAGAUUGGUCCUCUGAGUUUCAAAUAGCAAGGGGAAAAUAAAUGGAGCUGUGGGAAAUUUCAGGAAGGCUAAAUAAACCAAAUAAAGUUCAACUUCCAUCUGAGUCUACUAGUCAAUAUUUUAAGCCAUCUUCUGGAUGGAAAGGAAAAGUGGAAAUUUACACUAUUGUACAAUUGUUAUUUUGUUAAAUACUAUCUGUACUAAUAGACUAAAGGUCUCCUGUUAGGGGUGAUGUGAUAUGUUAUUAAAUAUAAGGGAAUUAGAAUGAAUUAUAUUAAAUCUACUGUGAGAAUAUGCCUUGUGACUUUUCAGAUAAAGUCCAAAAAUAAUUUAAAAUUUGGGAUAAAGAAGAGGACGCUUAUCAUUGGCUUUUACUAGUUGCUUGUUAACACAUGCACAAAAUCAUAUUUACUCAUUUUUCAAACAUUAUAAAUAUUUUUCCCCCUUCUCUCUUGUGUGAAGUUAAAACCGUCUCACCAUGACCUUUUCAGUAUUCUGUAAUUUGAUUUGCUUGCCAUACCCACCUUGCCCUGUUUACCAUCCCAGGAAGUGUGAUUGGAACAGACAACCAGUCAAAAUGGAGAAUAUUAAAAAGGUCAAAGUAGUAAAAUUUACUGUCCAACUUUUCCAGGAAAUAAAAGAAUAUUUACAGUUUAAUAUGUGCCUCAGAUGACAGGCUGUCCAAAGAAACAAAAGUGAGCAAGAUUGUAUUUAGCUUAUGAUAGCAAAUAUAACAGGCAAAGGGAUUCAAGAAGGUGUUAUAAUUAGUAGUUAUCCCCAUAUUUAUUAUUUUGGAUGUUUAAAAGAAAGCCUUCUUGUCGAUAUGUCAGAAGUAACUUUGAAACUUGAGAGGGGAAAAAGAUAAAACAACUGCCUUAAUUUUAUAAUUUUCUAACUGACAAUGCAUGAAAUAAUUCAUGUUUUCACAGUUUACCAGAAUUAAAAUUCGUUAUGUCCAAUUAAAUUGAAAAAAUGCAUACAUAAGAUAGAGCUGGGUCAUCCAUUGAUGCUUAUAUUUUGGAGUGAGG